CUCAGUGACUUGAAUAAAUACUUUUCGAUUUUAUAUCUUGAGCUGGUCUGGUCAUCCAUAUCUUUUCAUGCAACAGUAAACACUUCUAUAGUUAAUGUCAUUAUUGAUACGUUUGUCGUAAAUAAAUUUGUUUCCAACCAGCUUUAUUGUCCUUUAUUUUCUAUCUUAGAGAUGUUUGAACGAUUUUUUCAAUUCUUCAUUUGGCACUUUGGAGAUUUGAUGUUUACAAAUCUUGUUUUUAUUUCUGAAACUGAUUUGCUUUAUUGCCAAAAUGUAUCAUAUUUAUCAACCUCAAGAAGUAAAUAAUUACUGAUUAGUCCACUGGAGAAUUUAGCAGUCAAAGAAUAUUCCUCUGAUAAUCAUUUCUCACUUCCUCCCUUUUUAGAUUGAAAUUAUUUUGGAUUUUUAGACCCUUUUUUAAAAUUUCACAAUUAUGCGAAUAUCAAUAUGCAUCAUGUCUUUUUGAGUUACGAUUAUCUAGUUUUGUUUUGAAAAGUAUUUAUGACUAUAACAAUUGUUCUACUGUUACAUGUCUGUGUGGUCCCAUUGCUGGCCAUAAACCUUUCUACCCCUUGUUUCAUUCCUGCUUCUUUUAAAAUUCACCAUAAUUUUCUGUGUAAUUCUCAAGGUUACUUUUUUACAAGGAAAAUGGUGGGAGAUAAGUUUAUGUAAUUCCUUCCUCCUAUAAUCUUAUCAAUGGAACAACUUUGCUAGGCAUCCAGUUACUACAUAGCAGUAUUUCCUUUCUCUGGCCACUUCUUGUACACCAGCUCUGAGUCCCAGAGAUGUGGUGCUCUCCUCUCCUAGGAUUUAAUGUGUGGAGGGUAGCCCUGCCUUCCCUUCAUUUAGUAGGUAAUGCUUUAGUAGGGAUGGUCUUUGUGAUUGUUGUUUUUCUAUCUAGACUUUUGCAUUAUUUUCUUCUUCUCUUUCUUCAACUCCACCUUUUUCUUCUUUGUUUUCAAAACUCAAAUUCUCAGUAAUUUGCACUAGGAACAAAAAGCAUCUUUAAGGCAUCAGAGCUUACUUUAACUCAUUUUCCCACAGUUAUGUUCCUGAUUGCUGCUUCUGCCUUAUUCAUUGUUGCCUCUCUUUUUUAUUUAUCUUGUUUGUUCUUUUAUUCUUCAUCCUGAGGUGUUUCUUCAUAUACUAACGAUAUAUUUAAAUUCUGAUCUUUUCUGUAUUAAACUUCAUUAUCAUUGUUUGCCUUAAUUUUAUUUUCUUGUUUCAUAUGAAUCCUUUUAUAUUUAUACCUUCAUCUAAUCUACCUCCUUAUCUUAUCUUACAUUAGGACUCUUAUCUGCAAGUGACAGAAACUGAAAUUGAAUUGAACUGAACAUACAGAAGGAACUUAGUGGCUCCUGUCACAGAAAAUGUCAGGAGGCACAUUAAGAACUCAACAAUGAGAACACACGGACACAGGGAGGGGACCAUCACACACUGGGGCCUGUCAACGGGCAGGGGGCUAGGGAACGGAUAACAUAUCUGAUGUAGAUGACGGGUUGAUGGGUGCAGCAAACCACCAUGGCACGUGUAUGCUUGUUUAACACACCUGCCCGUUCUGCAUAUGUAUCCCAGAACAUAAAGUAUAAUUGGGAAAAAAAAAAAAAAAAAAAA
This 1614-nucleotide long non-coding RNA is filed under the name Macaca fascicularis (crab-eating macaque). RNAcentral describes it as "lncRNA (ENSMFAG00000059572.1)". The record is from RNAcentral. Lineage: Eukaryota; Metazoa; Chordata; Mammalia; Primates; Cercopithecidae.